UGGAGGCAGCAGUGGGGAAUCUUGCACAAUGGGGGAAACCCUGAUGCAGCGACGCCGCGUGAGCGAUGAAGCCCUUCGGGGUGUAAAGCUCUUUCGGCAGGGACGAUAGUGACGGUACCUGCAGAAGCAGCUGCGGCUAACUACGUGCCAGCAGCCGCGGUAAUACGUAGGCAGCAAGCGUUGUUCGGAGUUACUGGGCGUAAAGGGUGUGUAGGCGGCCUUUUAAGUUUGGUGUGAAAUCUCCCGGCUCAACUGGGAGGGUGCGCCGAAUACUGAAAGGCUCGAGUGCGGGAGAGGAGAGUGGAAUUCCUGGUGUAGCGGUGAAAUGCGUAGAUAUCAGGAGGAACACCGGUGGUGUAGGCGGCUCUCUGGACCGUAACUGACGCUGAGACACGAAAGCGUGGGUAGCAAACAGGAUUAGAUACCCCUGUAGUCC
This 436-nucleotide ribosomal RNA is filed under the name uncultured bacterium. Its description in RNAcentral is "bacterial SSU rRNA". It matches the Rfam family "Bacterial small subunit ribosomal RNA", at positions 343 to 796 of the family's 1533-position model. The record is from RNAcentral.